CAGGCUGUGAAAACACUUCAGGCCAGUCCCUGAGUAGGAAUGGACAACAAGGUGGUCACCAUGCUGACAGCUAUUCCCUGUGUGAUUUACUUUAUUAUGAAGUCUAAAUUUGAUGCUGAAGUGCUAGCCUAAGCUCACUAACCUGCCAACUUAGAGAAGAAGGUAACCAUGGCUAGGAUGACUGGGAAUCUGAUGGACUCAAUUAAGAAUUUCUACAGAUGGGAAAACCAAAACUCCUUAGUGGCAAGAGGCCAAAGAUGGUCAGCGAAUUGUUGUUUCCGGCUGUUGGAAGUUGACUGCAGUUGAAUAACAGAACAAAAACGGAGCUUCAAAAUCAUGGCGUGCCUGCUUCUUCUGGGUUCUUUUAACUGCAAGCAAUCAGCUUUGAAGAGCACCUCAAGAAUAACAUUUACAUAUGAAAGAAAAUAGGAGAUGGCUCAGAAUAAUAUGUCCAAGGCCACGCCCAGGCGUCAGGGAUUCAUGAAUUUUGUAUACAGUGUAUGAUGUUUCUAGAUUAAAAUAUUUUCAAAGGUAAAAAAAAAAAAA
RNAcentral lists this long non-coding RNA (546 nucleotides) under Homo sapiens (human). RNAcentral's name for it is "spermatogenesis associated 42 (SPATA42)". Lineage: Eukaryota; Metazoa; Chordata; Mammalia; Primates; Hominidae. The record is from RNAcentral.